This 388-nucleotide ribosomal RNA is filed under the name uncultured Sphingobacteriales bacterium. RNAcentral describes it as "bacterial SSU rRNA". It matches the Rfam family "Bacterial small subunit ribosomal RNA", at positions 992 to 1382 of the family's 1533-position model. The record is from RNAcentral. Lineage: Bacteria; Pseudomonadati; Bacteroidota; Sphingobacteriia; Sphingobacteriales.
UGACUGUAGGUGAAAGCUUACAUCUCUUCGGAGCAUUUUACGAGGUGCUGCAUGGUUGUCGUCAGCUCGUGCCGUGAGGUGUCGGGUUAAGUCCCAUAACGAGCGCAACCCUACCUUUAGUUGCCAUCAGGUUAAGCUGGGGACUCUAAAGGAACUGCCUACGCAAGUAGUGAGGAAGGCGGGGAUGACGUCAAAUCAGCACGGCCCUUACGUCCAGGGCUACACACGUGCUACAAUGGCCGAUACAGAGGGCAGCUACCUGAUGACAGGAUGCAAAUCUCCAAAGUCGGUCUCAGUUCGGAUCGGAGUCUGCAACCCGACUCCGUGAAGUUGGAUUCGCUAGUAAUCGCGCAUCAGCCAUGGCGCGGUGAAUACGUUCCCGGGCCUU